GUAGUCUCGCACAGAUGCAUAUCAAUAAGCGGAGGAAAAGAAACUAACAAGGAUUCCCCUAGUAACGGCGAGUGAAGCGGGAAGAGCUCAAAUUUGAAAUCUUAAAGGGUUUCCCUUUACGAAUUGUAGUUUAAAGAAGUGUUUUCUGUUGAGGUUUUGGUAAAAGUUCUUUGGAAUAGGACAUCAUAGAGGGUGAGAAUCCCGUAUUUGACCUUUACUUUCAACUUUGUGAUACACUUUCAAAGAGUCGGAUUGUUUGGGAAUGCAGUCCAAAAUGGGUGGUAAAUUUCAUCUAAAGCUAAAUAUUGGCGAGAGACCGAUAGCGAACAAGUACCGUGAGGGAAAGAUGAAAAGAACUUUGAAAAGAGAGUUAAACAGUACGUGAAAUUGUCAAAAGGGAAGCGUUUGACACCAGUGUUGUUUUUCUGAAAAUCAAUUAAAGAACUGUUUAUGCUAAGCUGUUUAGACUUUAUCAGCUAUCUGUUUAGUUUUGAGCUUUUCUUUAAUGCACUUUUCAGUUAACAAGUCAACAUCAAUUUCUUUUGCUGUAAAAAAGCUUGAGGAAGGUGGCUUGAGAUUCGUCUUAAGUGUUUAUAGCCUCUUGCCUAUGCAGUCGGAGAGAUUGAGGUCUGCAGCGUAGAUCCUUCGGGGCUAAAUGCAUUUGUGCUAAGUUAUAGCAUUUUAUAGACAACUUGUUGACUAUGAUUUGUCUUGUAGCUUACUCGCUUAUGUUAUUUUACCUACGCUUAGGAUGUUGAGCGCAUGUCUCUCUCU
RNAcentral lists this ribosomal RNA (774 nucleotides) under uncultured Neocallimastigales. RNAcentral's name for it is "partial large subunit ribosomal RNA". It matches the Rfam family "Eukaryotic large subunit ribosomal RNA", at positions 24 to 616 of the family's 3401-position model. The record is from RNAcentral. Lineage: Eukaryota; Fungi; Neocallimastigomycota; Neocallimastigomycetes; Neocallimastigales.